RNAcentral lists this ribosomal RNA (253 nucleotides) under uncultured bacterium. RNAcentral's name for it is "partial 16S ribosomal RNA". It matches the Rfam family "Bacterial small subunit ribosomal RNA", at positions 524 to 776 of the family's 1533-position model. The record is from RNAcentral.
UACGAAGGGGGCUAGCGUUGCUCGGAAUGACUGGGCGUAAAGGGCGCGUAGGCGGAUGGCACAGUCAGAUGUGAAAUUCCCGGGCUUAACCUGGGGGCUGCAUUUGAUACGUGUGAUCUAGAGUGAGGAAGAGGGUCGUGGAAUUCCCAGUGUAGAGGUGAAAUUCGUAGAUAUUGGGAAGAACACCCGUGGCAAAGGCGGGUCUCUGGGACGGUACUGACGCUGAGACGCGAAAGCGUGGGGAGCGAACAGG